GGAUGGAUCACUCCUGAUAACUAUCAACACCCAACCUACGCACUGAGACGUUAACCAACCUCAAUUAACCAAUGAGUCCAUUCAAAAAUUAAAAACUCUUAACGAUGGAUGACUCGACUCUCGCAACGAGGAAGGACGCAGCAAACCGCGAUAAGCAGUAUGACUUGCGUACACUCGUGAAUCACCAGAUUUCUGAACGCAUUUGUACCUUUGGCUUCGGCCUCAGGUAUGUUUGGUUCGGUAUCGUUUCGAUUUGCCAGAUUGACUGUCAAUAUCUAAGCUUGCUUGGAGAUUGAAACUGUUGCUGGUGUUUAGAGCUGUCGCAAAUUUAUUUGGUGUCAGCUGUCUAUUGAUGUCUUCUGAUACAGUACAUUGAGUUCAGUAAUUCAUUACAAGUCUCGAAGUACUGUGUUGCUAAGAAGCUUCUAUCUUAAAUCUUCGAUCCGAGCUCAAGCAAGGCUACCCGCUGAAUUUAAGCAUAUAAUUAAGCGGAGGAAUAGAAACCAACAGGGAUUCCCUCAAUAGUGGCGAACGAAGUGGGAAGAGCCCGAGAUGUGAAUCGAAGUAGUUUACUGCUUCGAGUUGUGCAUCAUGGUCUUUGCCAGUAAAGUCUUUCGUCUAGGUGCCUGGAAAGGCAUGCCAGAGAAGGUGAUAGCCCUGUCUUUGAUGAAAUGACUUUGCGUACGGCACUGAUCGACUGAGUCACGCUCUUUGGGAGUAGAGCGCAAAUAGGGUGGUAACCUCCAUCCAUGGCUAAAUAUUGGCGAGAGAUCGAUAGCAAACAAGUACCCUGAGGGAAAGUUGAAAAGCACUUCGAAAGGAGAGUUAAAAGACCUGAAAUCGUUAAGGGGGAAGCGAGUGGCCGUGACCCUAUGUGGUGUUUCGAUACUUUACUAGAAGGAGUAAACUGUGAAUAAACCCUCAGGUGACUCUGAACGGUGCUGAAUCGGCUCAUUACUAUCUGACAACACUUCAAGUUGCAAUGAUUUUUCGCUGCGACAUGGAGUGACGCUUACCUGCUUGCAGCAAGUUGUCAGAAGCGGCACGUCUACACGACCCGUCUUGAAACACGGACCAAGGAGUUAAACAUAUGUGCGAGUGUAAGGGUGGCAAACCCAUACGCGCAGUGAAAGCGACAGCUGUGAAUACAAAUGCAACAGCGGCCGACUCUUGAAGUUCGAGCUUGAGCAUAUCUGUUUAGACCCGAAAGAUGGUGACCUAUACCUGAGUUGAGUGAAGCCAGGGGAAACUCUGGUGGAGGCUCGUAGCGAUACUGACGUGCAAAUCGUUCGUCAAACUUGGGCAUAGGGGCGAAAGACUAAUCGAACCAUCUAGUAGCUGGUUCCCUC
RNAcentral lists this unclassified non-coding RNA (1349 nucleotides) under uncultured fungus. RNAcentral's name for it is "sequence contains 18S rRNA gene, ITS1, 5.8S rRNA gene, ITS2, 28S rRNA gene". The stretch from base 440 to 1349 matches the Rfam family "Eukaryotic large subunit ribosomal RNA", at positions 1 to 961 of the family's 3401-position model. Lineage: Eukaryota; Fungi. The record is from RNAcentral.